CGGCCGCGGAACCCUAACCGUGCGAAGGUAGCAUAAUCACUUGUUCUUUAAAUCAGGACUAGUAUGAACGGCCUCACGAGAGCUAUACUGUCUCCUCCCCCUAAUCAGUGAAACUGAUCUCCCCGUGAAGAAGCGGGUAUAGUUUAAUAAGACGAGAAGACCCCAUGGAGCUUUAAACUUGCACCACUGCCUUAUAUACACCAAAUACCUCAGCAACAUGGCAGCUAGUCUUUCGGCUGGGGCGACCACGGAAAAAAACAAAACCUCCGUGAUGAAAGGACACUCCUAAUCAAAGAACCACUAUUCUAAGAAUCAACAAAUUGACAUAAUUGACCCAAACAUUUUGAUCAACGAACCAAGUUACCCUGGGGAUAACAGCGCAAUCCAUUUCGAGAGACCCCAUCAACAAAUGGGCUUACGACCUCGAUGUUGGAUCAGGGUAUCCUAGUGGUGCAGCCGCUACUAAAGGUUCGUUUGUUCAACGAUUAAAACCCUACGUGAUCUGAGU
Molecule: ribosomal RNA, 508 nt
Filed under: Anodonthyla montana (mountain climbing frog)
Lineage: Eukaryota; Metazoa; Chordata; Amphibia; Anura; Microhylidae
Description: partial 16S ribosomal RNA
Rfam family: Bacterial large subunit ribosomal RNA
Source: RNAcentral